UCAACUUUUUGGAAUGUAAUUUGUAAAACAAAGAUGAUUUUCUGUAAUGUACAAUAAAAUAAUAAAAAAAAAAAAAAAAAAAAAAAAUCUGUUCUUAUCAGUUUAAUAUCUGAUACGUCCCCCAGCGGGGGACUACAUAUUAAGCGGAUUUUUAGAACAGGGAGUCGGCAAAGGAGCUUGCUCCAUCCGCUCCACGCAUCGACCCAGUAUUGCAGUGCCUCUGGGAGCGGUGCACUUUCU
This is a small nuclear RNA of 240 nucleotides. Its record names the gene U2. It matches the Rfam family "U2 spliceosomal RNA". Rfam says of the family: U2 is a small nuclear RNA (snRNA) component of the spliceosome (involved in pre-mRNA splicing). Complementary binding between U2 snRNA (in an area lying towards the 5' end but 3' to hairpin I) and the branchpoint sequence (BPS) of the intron results the bulging out of an unpaired adenosine, on the BPS, which initiates a nucleophilic attack at the intronic 5' splice site, thus starting the first of two transesterification reactions that mediate splicing. The record is from Ensembl.